Molecule: ribosomal RNA, 633 nt
Filed under: Escherichia coli
Lineage: Bacteria; Pseudomonadati; Pseudomonadota; Gammaproteobacteria; Enterobacterales; Enterobacteriaceae
Description: partial 23S ribosomal RNA
Rfam family: Bacterial large subunit ribosomal RNA
Source: RNAcentral
CUGCGUACCUUUUGUAUAAUGGGUCAGCGACUUAUAUUCUGUAGCAAGGUUAACCGAAUAGGGGAGCCGAAGGGAAACCGAGUCUUAACUGGGCGUUAAGUUGCAGGGUAUAGACCCGAAACCCGGUGAUCUAGCCAUGGGCAGGUUGAAGGUUGGGUAACACUAACUGGAGGACCGAACCGACUAAUGUUGAAAAAUUAGCGGAUGACUUGUGGCUGGGGGUGAAAGGCCAAUCAAACCGGGAGAUAGCUGGUUCUCCCCGAAAGCUAUUUAGGUAGCGCCUCGUGAAUUCAUCUCCGGGGGUAGAGCACUGUUUCGGCAAGGGGGUCAUCCCGACUUACCAACCCGAUGCAAACUGCGAAUACCGGAGAAUGUUAUCACGGGAGACACACGGCGGGUGCUAACGUCCGUCGUGAAGAGGGAAACAACCCAGACCGCCAGCUAAGGUCCCAAAGUCAUGGUUAAGUGGGAAACGAUGUGGGAAGGCCCAGACAGCCAGGAUGUUGGCUUAGAAGCAGCCAUCAUUUAAAGAAAGCGUAAUAGCUCACUGGUCGAGUCGGCCUGCGCGGAAGAUGUAACGGGGCUAAACCAUGCACCGAAGCUGCGGCAGCGACGCUUAUGCGUUGUUGGGUA